UUACGACCAUAUCACGUUGAUACACCGGUUCUCGUCCGAUCAUCGAAGUUAAGCAACGUCGAGCCUGUUCAUUACCUAGAUGAGCGACCGCUUGGGAAC
Molecule: non-coding RNA, 99 nt
Organism: Acanthosepion pharaonis
Lineage: Eukaryota; Metazoa; Mollusca; Cephalopoda; Sepiida; Sepiidae
Source: the annotation of a GenBank genome assembly